RNAcentral lists this non-coding RNA (30 nucleotides) under Homo sapiens (human). Lineage: Eukaryota; Metazoa; Chordata; Mammalia; Primates; Hominidae. The record is from RNAcentral.
UGAUUGGGGCCUGGAGCAGAAGCUAUGGGA